Gasterosteus aculeatus aculeatus (three-spined stickleback) is the source of this 836-nucleotide long non-coding RNA. Lineage: Eukaryota; Metazoa; Chordata; Actinopteri; Perciformes; Gasterosteidae. The record is from Ensembl.
UUUUUAAGUACAGGCAGAUGUUUUCAAGGACUGUUUUGUUGUCCUCUAAUUCUGGGAUCCUGGUGAUACGGAUCUAAUGUUCUUUGGGGAUGGUAUCCUCUGUUUGUUGGAUCUUAGAGAUCAGGCACAAUACAGUGAACCCACUGCUUGUGACCAUCUCGUUGUGGAUAUCCUCUUGGCUCUUUUUCAAAUUCAAAGAUUUUAUUGUCAAAUAUACCCCCCUUGUGUAUUGAAAUUCUUAUGCUUGCCUUUUAUGGACAGCCGACCAAUUUUAAAAUAAAAAAAAUAAAAUGUACAUGAAAUAAAAAUGAGGCAAAAAUGAGGUAAGGGGAAAUGUGCAAAACUGAGCAGGUUGUAAAAAAAAAAUGAAAUGAAAUGAGUGCAAUAUAAAUUAACAGUACAGUUAAUUAAAGCCCACCAAUAAAAAAAUAUAUAUAUAUGUUUAAAUAAAUGUACAUGAAAUAAAAAUAAGGCAGAAAAGAGGUAAGUGAAAAUGUGCAAAACUGAGCAGGUUGUAAAAAAAAAUGAAAUGAAAUGAGUGCAAUAUAAAUUAACAGUACAGUUAAUUAAAGCCCACCAAUAAAAAAAAAAAUAUAUAUAUAUAUAUAUAUAUAUAUAUGUUUAAAUAAAUGUACAUGAAAUAAAAAUAAGGCAGAGAAGAGGUAAGUGAAAAUGUGCAAAACUGAGCAGGUUGUAAAAAAAAUGAAAUGAAAUGGGUGAAAUAUAAAUUAACAGUACAGUUAAUUAAAGCCGACCAAUUAAAAAAAAAAAGAUUUUCUUUUUUUAAAUAAAUGUACUUGAAAUAAAAAUAAGGCAGAAAUGACGUAAGGGAAAUG